RNAcentral lists this microRNA precursor (92 nucleotides) under Columba livia (rock pigeon). RNAcentral describes it as "microRNA cli-mir-9647 precursor". The record is from miRBase by way of RNAcentral. Lineage: Eukaryota; Metazoa; Chordata; Aves; Columbiformes; Columbidae.
AGGUGAGGGCUGGUUCCCGCGCUGGUGUGUGGCUCCGUGGCCCCGAGCUGCCCGGGAGCCGCUCACCAGCGCUGGUGUCUCUGUCCCCAGGU